ACCCAAAAAAAAAAAAGAACACAUUUACCAGGCUUUAUUUUGGAAAGGAAACCCAUAUCCAAUGAGUGAUGGAUGAGAAGCACAUUAAUCUACUAAUAUACCCAUGCAGUAAGUUCUCUAACAAAGCAAAACGAUAUUGCAAGUUGAGAUGAAGGUACCCAUAAAUGUCUCCUGAUAAUAUCCUAACUGCACAAACUGCACCAACCAAUGAUGUGUUAUUUAAUAGAAACCCUUUGGUUCAGAACAUAUCCAAUUUAUAUUUGGGGAGAUACAUUCUUCCAAUGACCAAAUGAACUCAGUUCACUAU
Rhodamnia argentea is the source of this 307-nucleotide long non-coding RNA. RefSeq lists it as uncharacterized. The record is from RefSeq and is a predicted model, not a curated record. NCBI's taxonomy places the organism in Eukaryota, Viridiplantae, Streptophyta, Magnoliopsida, Myrtales, Myrtaceae. The transcript is spliced from 2 exons.